Molecule: ribosomal RNA, 819 nt
Filed under: uncultured Cryptophyta
Lineage: Eukaryota; Cryptophyceae
Description: bacterial SSU rRNA
Rfam family: Eukaryotic small subunit ribosomal RNA
Source: RNAcentral
GUGAAACUGCGAAUGGCUCAUUAUAACAGUUAUUAUUUACUAGCCGGUCAGUUAUUCCUUGGAUACCCAUGGUAAUUCUAGAGCUAAUACAUGCUUACAGACCCAACUUCACGGAAGGGUUGCGCUUAUUAGAUACCGAACCAACCCCGCAAGGGAUUUAGUUGAUUCAUAGUGUUCUGGCGAAUCGACAUUAGUCGAUGAGGCUAUCAAGUUUCUGACCUAUCAGCUUCCGACGGUAGGGUAUUGGCCUACCGUGGCUUUGACGGGUAACGGAGAAUUAGGGUUCGAUUCCGGAGAGGGAGCCUGAGAAACGGCUACCACAUCUAAGGAAGGCAGCAGGCGCGCAAAUUACCCAAUCCCGAUUCGGGGAGGUAGUGACAAUAAAUAACAAUACAGGGCCAACGGUCUUGUUAUUGGAAUGAGAACAAUUUAAAUAACUUAACGAGGAUCAAUUAGAGGGCAAGUCUGGUGCCAGCAGCCGCGGUAAUUCCAGCUCUAAUAGCGUAUAUUAAAGUUGUUGCAGUUAAAAAGCUCGUAGUCGGAUGUCGUGCUCGGGCAAGCUGUCGGCCUUUGGUCGGACGGCAGGCUCGGGUCUUUCUGCCUGAGGAACCCGGUUGCUUUAACGAGCUGCCGGUGGACGCAGGUCGUUUACUUUGAAAAAAUUAGAGUGUUCAAAGCAGGCUAGCGCUUGAAUACAUUAGCAUGGAAUAAUGGAAUAGGACUUUGGUGCUAUUUUGUUGGUUUAUGGGACCGAAGUAAUGAUUAACAGGGACAGUUGGGGCCGUUUAUAUUUCGUUGUCAGAGGUGAAAUUCUUGGAU